RNAcentral lists this ribosomal RNA (670 nucleotides) under uncultured bacterium. RNAcentral's name for it is "bacterial SSU rRNA". It matches the Rfam family "Bacterial small subunit ribosomal RNA", at positions 54 to 707 of the family's 1533-position model. The record is from RNAcentral.
CAUGCAAGCCGAACGAGAAACCGGGCUUCGGCCCGGCGGAAAGUGGCGAACGGGUGAGUAACGCGUGGGUAAUUUGCCUCUGAGAUGGGGAUAACAACUCGAAAGAGUUGCUAAUACCAAAUACGAUUCGGUUGACUUCGGUCGGCCGUAUGAAAGGUGGCUUCGGCUGCCGCUCGGAGAUAAGCCCGCGUCCUAUUAGCUUGUUGGUGUGGUAAAGGCGCACCAAGGCGACGAUGGGUAGCUGGUCUGAGAGGAUGGUCAGCCACAUUGGGACUGAGACACUGCCCAAACUCCUACGGGAGGCUGCAGUCGAGAAUAUUUCGCAAUGGGGGAAACCCUGACGAUGCGACGCCGCGUGGGGGAUGAAGGCCUUCGGGUCGUAAACCUCUGUGUUACGGGAUGAAUCGAGCGUUGCUGAUAACGCAGCGUUCUUGACGUUACCGUAGUAGAAAGCCCCAGCUAACUACGUGCCAGCAGCUGCGGUAAUACGUAGGGGGCAAGCGUUGUCCGGAAUCACUGGGCGUAAAGCGCGCGCAGGCGGUAGGGUAAGUCAGACGUGAAAGGGUUCGGCUCAACCGAACCAUUGCGUUUGAUACUACUUUACUUGAGUCUAGAAGAGGAAAGUGGAAUGUAUGGUGUAGCGGUGGAAUGCUUAGAUAUCAUAUAUAAA